GGCUGCAACCCGCCUGUAUGAAGUUGGAAUCGCUAGUAAUCGCGGAUCAGCAUGCCGCGGUGAAUACGUUCCCGGGCCUUGUACACACCGCCCGUCACACCAUGAGAGUCGGGAACACCCGAAGUCCGUAGUCUAACUUUCACGAGAGGACGCGGCCGAAGGUGGGUUCGAUAAUUGGGGUGAAGUCGUAACAAGGUAAC
Molecule: ribosomal RNA, 200 nt
Filed under: uncultured bacterium
Lineage: Bacteria
Description: partial 16S ribosomal RNA
Rfam family: Bacterial small subunit ribosomal RNA
Source: RNAcentral